RNAcentral lists this long non-coding RNA (1229 nucleotides) under Cervus hanglu yarkandensis (Yarkand deer). RNAcentral's name for it is "lncRNA (ENSCHYG00000005595.1)". The record is from RNAcentral. Lineage: Eukaryota; Metazoa; Chordata; Mammalia; Artiodactyla; Cervidae.
CCUGUCCCUGGGGCAGAUGAGGUUUUCCAGAGGGCCCGAGAUAGACUUUCCCAGAGCAGCAGCUGGAACUGUAAAUCUCUUGACUGUUCUCUUUCGUUCCCUCCAGCUUUCUGGCAGAGAACUGCUUAAUCCAGCCUCUCCCUCCCCUUCUUGUCAGUACUCACCGGAAGAGGUGGGUAUAGCUUGGGCGGUUUGGUUGGAGCCGGAUCCUGGAAGUGUUGGCCAGAGGCUUCUGUCACUGGGAUCAGACCCUGCCAAAACAGCGGCUCUACAACCUCUGGGAGAGCUGGUGGAAGAGCAGUGGAUGUUGCAGAAGGUCCUGGCAAAGCACUGGGAGGCAGGAUUGAUUCAAGAAUCACAGAGUGAAAUUCAAGAAAGCCAAAGAUGAGGAUUUCCCAUCAGAACAGUGAGAAGUUCAACAGCGAUUCUCUGAGGUCAUGGUCAAUAUUGGCUCCACCAAGGAGAACGUGGCUGCACCUCCAAGGUCCUCUCUGGUGCCUCCCUUGAAUCCCUAGUUCCUACAGAUCCUCAGAUACCUUCCUUCCAGCUCAGCAUAUGGCCUGCCCUGAAGGAUCUCACAGACCAUUCUCUGGGCCACAAAAUGGUCCAUUUUGGCUGCUACCAAGACCCGAAUAUAUACUACCUCUAUCCCAUUGUGGAAUCCUGAGCUGUCUCUACAAACCUCAAUUCUAAUUCUUUGGGCUCUUUUUUUUUGCCACAAAGCUCUAAGAGAAGCUAGGCCCAGAAAGUCACAUGUUAUGAUUUGUCAUGAUUCUGAUCCCAAGCUGGAAUCAAGAUUGCUUGGAGGAGUAUCAACAACCUCAGAUAUGCAGACGACACCACCCUUAUGGCAGAAAGCAAAGAGAAACUAAAAAACUUCUUGAUGAAGGUGAAAGAAGAGAGUGAAAAAUGUGGCUUCAAACUUAACAUUCAAAAAACUAAGAUCAUGACAUCCAGUCCCAUCACUUCAUGGCAAAUAGAUGGGGGAAAAUGUUCUCAUCACAAAAAAGAAAUGAGAAUUGUGUGAUGGGAUGGAGAUGUUGGCUAAUGCCAUGGCGGGAAUCAUUUUAUCACAUAUAAUUAUAUUCAAUCAACAUGCUGUACAUCUUAAACUUACACAAUGUUAUAUGUCAAUUACAUCUCAAUGGAACUGGAGAAACAAAUUUUAAAUAAAAUGUGUGCAUUUUAUUUUGCAUAAUUUAUACCUUGAUAAAAAAUAACUAUAUAAU